GAUGAACGCUAGCGGCGUGCCUAAUACAUGCAAGUCGAGCGAACAGACGAGGAGCUUGCUCCUUCGACGUUAGCGGCGGACGGGUGAGUAACACGUAGGUAACCUACCUAUAAGACUGGGAUAACUUCGGGAAACCGGAGCUAAUACCGGAUAAUAUUUCGAACCGCAUGGUUCGAUAGUGAAAGAUGGCUUUGCUAUCACUUAUAGAUGGACCUGCGCCGUAUUAGCUAGUUGGUAAGGUAACGGCUUACCAAGGCAACGAUACGUAGCCGACCUGAGAGGGUGAUCGGCCACACUGGAACUGAGACACGGUCCAGACUCCUACGGGAGGCAGCAGUAGGGAAUCUUCCGCAAUGGGCGAAAGCCUGACGGAGCAACGCCGCGUGAGUGAUGAAGGUCUUCGGAUCGUAAAACUCUGUUAUUAGGGAAGAACAAACGUGUAAGUAACUGUGCACGUCUUGACGGUACCUAAUCAGAAAGCCACGGCUAACUACGUG
This 497-nucleotide ribosomal RNA is filed under the name uncultured bacterium. Its description in RNAcentral is "partial 16S ribosomal RNA". It matches the Rfam family "Bacterial small subunit ribosomal RNA", at positions 28 to 507 of the family's 1533-position model. The record is from RNAcentral.